AGCGAACGCUGGCGGCAGGCCUAACACAUGCAAGUCGAACGAACCUUUCGGGGUUAGUGGCGGACGGGUGAGUAACACGUGGGAACGUGCCUUUAGGUUCGGAAUAACUCAGGGAAACUUGUGCUAAUACCGCAUGUGCUCUUCGCGGGAAAGAUUUAUCGCCUUUAGAGCGGCCCGCGUCUGAUUAGCUAGUUGGUUGAGGUAAUGGCUCACCAAGGCGACGAUCAGUAGCUGGUCUGAGAGGAUGAUCAGCCACAUUGGGACUGAGACACGGCCCAAACUCCUACGGGAGGCAGCAGUGGGGAAUCUUGCGCAAUGGGCGAAAGCCUGACGCAGCCAUGCCGCGUGAAUGAUGAAGGUCUUAGGAUUGUAAAAUUCUUUCACCGGGGACGAUAAUGACGGUACCCGGAGAAGAAGCCCCGGCUAACUUCGUG
Molecule: ribosomal RNA, 434 nt
Filed under: uncultured bacterium
Lineage: Bacteria
Description: partial 16S ribosomal RNA
Rfam family: Bacterial small subunit ribosomal RNA
Source: RNAcentral